This 270-nucleotide ribosomal RNA is filed under the name uncultured archaeon. Its description in RNAcentral is "partial 16S ribosomal RNA". It matches the Rfam family "Bacterial small subunit ribosomal RNA", at positions 527 to 796 of the family's 1533-position model. The record is from RNAcentral.
CGAGGGUGCAAGCGUUAAUCGGAAUUACUGGGCGUAAAGCGAGUGUAGGCGGUUACUUAAGUCGGAUGUGAAAUCCCCGGGCUCAACCUGGGAAUUGCAUUCGAUACUGGGCAGCUAGAGUUUGGUAGAGGUAAGUGGAAUUCCGGGUGUAGCGGUGAAAUGCGUAGAUAUCCGGAGGAACAUCAGUGGCGAAGGCGGCUUACUGGACCAAAACUGACGCUGAGGCUCGAAAGCGUGGGGAGCAAACAGGAUUAGAUACCCGAGUAGUCC